RNAcentral lists this ribosomal RNA (500 nucleotides) under uncultured bacterium. RNAcentral's name for it is "partial 16S ribosomal RNA". It matches the Rfam family "Bacterial small subunit ribosomal RNA", at positions 30 to 523 of the family's 1533-position model. The record is from RNAcentral.
AUUGAACGCUGGCGGCAUGCCUUACACAUGCAAGUCGAACGGCAGCACGGGAGCAAUCCUGGUGGCGAGUGGCGAACGGGUGAGUAAUAUAUCGGAACGUGCCCAGUCGUGGGGGAUAACGUAGCGAAAGCUACGCUAAUACCGCAUACGAUCUACGGAUGAAAGCGGGGGAUCGCAAGACCUCGCGCGAUUGGAGCGGCCGAUAUCAGAUUAGGUAGUUGGUGAGGUAAGGGCUCACCAAGCCGACGAUCUGUAGCUGGUCUGAGAGGACGACCAACCACACUGGGUCUGAGACACGGGCCAGACUCCGACGGGAGGCAGCAGUGGGGAAGUUUGGACACUGGGCGCAAGCCUGAUCCAGCAAUGCCGCGUGCAGGAUGAAGGCCUUCGGGUUGUAAACUGCUUUUGUACGGAACGAAACGGCGAACUCUAAUACAGUUUGCUAAUGACGGUACCGUAAGAAUAAGCACCGGCUAACUACGUGCCAGCCGCCGCCGUAA